AAAAUGGAGACCUUCAAACCUACAGAAGCCAUUGAGGCAGAAGAGAACGCUAGGAUAGAGGAGUUCGGUCGCUGGCUAGAGGAAGGUGGUGACAAGGAGGUGGCAGGAGAGUAACAUCAGCACAGC
This 126-nucleotide non-coding RNA is filed under the name Gloeochaete wittrockiana. Lineage: Eukaryota; Glaucocystophyceae; Gloeochaetales; Gloeochaetaceae. The record is from RNAcentral.